Unclassified non-coding RNA from Callithrix jacchus (white-tufted-ear marmoset), 148 nucleotides. It matches the Rfam family "Metazoan signal recognition particle RNA". Rfam says of the family: The signal recognition particle (SRP) is a universally conserved ribonucleoprotein. The record is from Ensembl. Lineage: Eukaryota; Metazoa; Chordata; Mammalia; Primates; Cebidae.
GCCAGGUGUGGUGGCGCACGCCUGUAGUCCCAGCUACUCCGGAGGCCGAGGCAGGAGAAUCGCUUGAACCCGGGAGGCGGAGGUUGCAGUGAGCUGAGAUCGAGCCAUUGCACUCCAGCCUGGGUGACAGAGUGAGAAUCUGUCUCAA